GUGUCAGCCGCCGCGGUAAUACCAGCACCCCGAGUGGUCGGGAUGAUUAUUGGGCCUAAAGCAUCCGUAGCCGGUGUAACAGUCCUCCGUUAAAUCCACCUGCUUAACAGGUGGGCUGCGGAGGAUACUGUUACACUAGGAGGCGGGAGAGGCGAGGGGUAUUCCACGGGUAGGGAUAAAAUCCUCUGAUCCGUGGAGGACCACCAGUGGCGAAGGCGCCUCGACAGAACGCGCGCGACGGUGAGGGAGGAAAGCUGGGGGAGCAAACCGGAUUAGAUACCCGGGUAGUCCCAGCCGUAAACGAUGUAGGCUCGGUGAUGGACUGGCUCCGAGCCAGUCCAGUGCCGCAGGGAAGCCGUUAAGCCUACCGCCUGGGGAGUACGGCCGCAAGGCUGAAACUCAAAGGAAUUGGCGGGG
Molecule: ribosomal RNA, 417 nt
Filed under: uncultured prokaryote
Description: bacterial SSU rRNA
Rfam family: Archaeal small subunit ribosomal RNA
Source: RNAcentral